This 465-nucleotide ribosomal RNA is filed under the name Vreelandella stevensii. Its description in RNAcentral is "partial 16S ribosomal RNA". It matches the Rfam family "Bacterial small subunit ribosomal RNA", at positions 338 to 795 of the family's 1533-position model. The record is from RNAcentral. Lineage: Bacteria; Pseudomonadati; Pseudomonadota; Gammaproteobacteria; Oceanospirillales; Halomonadaceae.
CCUACGGGGGGCAGCAGUGGGGAAUAUUGGACAAUGGGGGGAACCCUGAUCCAGCCAUGCCGCGUGUGUGAAGAAGGCCCUCGGGUUGUAAAGCACUUUCAGUGAGGAAGAACGCCUGGUGGUUAAUACCCAUCAGGAAAGACAUCACUCACAGAAGAAGCACCGGCUAACUCCGUGCCAGCAGCCGCGGUAAUACGGAGGGUGCGAGCGUUAAUCGGAAUUACUGGGCGUAAAGCGCGCGUAGGUGGCUUGAUAAGCCGGUUGCGAAAGCCCCGGGCUCAACCUGGGAACGGCAUCCGGAACUGUCAAGCUAGAGUGCAGGAGAGGAAGGUAGAAUUCCCGGUGUAGCGGUGAAAUGCGUAGAGAUCGGGAGGAAUACCAGUGGCGAAGGCGGCCUUCUGGACUGACACUGACACUGAGGUGCGAAAGCGUGGGUAGCAAACAGGAUUAGAUACCCCAGUAGUC